Molecule: long non-coding RNA, 346 nt
Organism: Dendronephthya gigantea
Lineage: Eukaryota; Metazoa; Cnidaria; Anthozoa; Malacalcyonacea; Nephtheidae
Exons: 4
Source: RefSeq, a predicted model, not a curated record
ACAAAAUUACUGUGCAAAGAUUUUCCUUGGUCAAGAGUGCAACCAGCAACAUGAGCUGCUGUGGAUAUGAACUUUACUGUCAGAGAAAAAUUGGAAUUGAACAAGAUUUCUGCAGAGAGAUUUUCCUUGGUCAAGAGUGCAACCAGCCACAUGAGCUGCUGUGGAUAUGAACUUUACUGUCAGAGGAAAAUUGGAAUUGAACAAGAUUUCUGUAGAGAGAAUGAAUGAAGUUGAAGAAAGUUGAAAGGCACCCCUGAAGAACCUGAAUUAUUUCAGCCCUAUCCUAGAUUCAUUAAUUAAUAUAUUUUAGUGUGUGAUAACAUGUGUGAAAUGUGAUCAAUUAUGU